CCAGGUUUGCAGCAGUUGGACAAUUAGGUUUUAGUAUCACAUUAGUUAAAAGAGGCCCUGCGGGGGGAAGAAGGUGAGGGACGUUUUAACUGGAUAGCAGUACUGUCUGGGUUUAGAGACUCCACAGAAGACCCGAGUGACGGACGAGAGUCGAGUUGGACCUUCCGGUCGGGAAUCACGCUUUUUUGAAGGCAAUUGGUUGGAGUCGAAAUCGCAGACGCAAGAUAAGCAAGACUCCACAGAAGACCCGAGUGACGGACGAGAGUCGAGUUGGACCUUCCGGUCGGGAAUCACGCUUUUUUGAAGGCAAUUGGUUGGAGUCGAAAUCGCAGACGCAAGAUAAGCAGUAGGAACAUUAUUCUUUUAUUUAUUGUCUUAGUUACAUUAUUGUCUUAAUGAUGUGGAAAGGCAAAGAUAGGAGAGGUUGUGUGGAUCGAUACCUGCCACGUGGGCGAGUGGGUAACUCUGGUUAGUGUCCCUGGGGAUUCCUUCUUAACCACGGUCAGGUUAAAAAUAGUCCAGAACUUUCAUUAUGUGAAAAUUCUGGAAAAAUAGUCCCAACUACCUAAGGGAAUUAAGAAGUAGGCCUACAGAUUCUCCGCAUGGCCUGAGUGAGGCCCAAGGAGCUAGGCCGCCCUGGAAUUAAACCCUUAGAAGUAGUAUGACCUGUACAAUUUUGUGCCUUUCGUUGUCUGGUCUAGGGGGUAGUACAUACGCCAAGCGUGAUUGGCUUGGUUUAAGCCAUUUCAGGGGAGGUGUCGCCUUUCAUUGUCUGGUCCAGGGGUAAUACACACGGCAAGCUUGAUCAACUUGACGGAGCCGGCUCGAGGAGGGUGUCUAAUGUAAAGGCUCGAAACACCCGAAGAUCCGAGAGUGCAUUACUGAUGAUGUGUCCUGGCACAUGAUAAUGAAAGGUUUCGAUUUUCCUAUACAAGCAGCUGGCUUAGGAGCUCAGACUUUAAAUUCUGCAGACUAACCUUGGCCAGCUAAACAUAUAGAUCCACCAGCCCUACACUUAAACCUAAUCCUAAAGUCCAAAAGGGGCAUACACCCCCAUAAAUAGGCAAAUUCCAAGAGGGGUAGUCACCCCCAUAAACCCUAGGCAACUUCCAAGGGGGGCAUACACCCCCACAAACCCUAGGCAUUCCCCGAUUAACUUUUGAUAUUCUGAGAGGGGUAGGAUUCAACAAGGGCAAGUGUGGGACCUGGUUAAUGAAGGCGUGGGCCAGAUCAAAGUGGCAGGGUGAUGUGAAACAGAAUCUCAAGUGAGGAGAUCAGAAAUCACAAGAGGGCUUUUUAGCCCACUGCCCGCAUAAUUUCAACCUAACCUAUCAGUGACACGCUCUUCAUUCUCCCGGCCCCAGAAAGGCCAAUAAGAAAACCCAGAUAUUUUAUUCCACCUAUUAGGUGUUCAAAAAUUCAUAGUUAAAAGAAUGGAGAGGUUCACCAAUCAGCAGCUAAUGUACCUUUAAGGGCUGAGGUGAGCCGGUCUCCUAGCAACAGCCAGGUUUGCAGCAGUUGGACAAUUAGGUUUUAGUAUCACAUUAGUUAAAAGAGGCCCUGCGGGGGGAAGAAGGUGAGGGACGUUUUAACUGGAUAGCAGUACUGUCUGGGUUUAGAGACUCCACAGAAGACCCGAGUGACGGACGAGAGUCGAGUUGGACCUUCCGGUCGGGAAUCACGCUUUUUUGAAGGCAAUUGGUUGGAGUCGAAAUCGCAGACGCAAGAUAAGCAGUAGGAACAUUAUUCUUUUAUUUAUUGUCUUAGUUACAUUAUUGUCUUAAUGAUGUGGAAAGGCAAAGAUAGGAGAGGUUGUGUGGAUCGAUACCUGCCACGUGGGCGAGUGGGUAACUCUGGUUAGUGUCCCUGGGGAUUCCUUCUUAACCACGGUCAGGUUAAAAAUAGUCCAGAACUUUCAUUAUGUGAAAAUUCUGGAAAAAUAGUCCCAACUACCUAAGGGAAUUAAGAAGUAGGCCUACAGAUUCUCCGCAUGGCCUGAGUGAGGCCCAAGGAGCUAGGCCGCCCUGGAAUUAAACCCUUAGAAGUAGUAUGACCUGUACAAUUUUGUGCCUUUCGUUGUCUGGUCUAGGGGGUAGUACAUACGCCAAGCGUGAUUGGCUUGGUUUAAGCCAUUUCAGGGGAGGUGUCGCCUUUCAUUGUCUGGUCCAGGGGUAAUACACACGGCAAGCUUGAUCAACUUGACGGAGCCGGCUCGAGGAGGGUGUCUAAUGUAAAGGCUCGAAACACCCGAAGAUCCGAGAGUGCAUUACUGAUGAUGUGUCCUGGCACAUGAUAAUGAAAGGUUUCGAUUUUCCUAUACAAGCAGCUGGCUUAGGAGCUCAGACUUUAAAUUCUGCAGACUAACCUUGGCCAGCUAAACAUAUAGAUCCACCAGCCCUACACUUAAACCUAAUCCUAAAGUCCAAAAGGGGCAUACACCCCCAUAAAUAGGCAAAUUCCAAGAGGGGUAGUCACCCCCAUAAACCCUAGGCAACUUCCAAGGGGGGCAUACACCCCCACAAACCCUAGGCAUUCCCCGAUUAACUUUUGAUAUUCUGAGAGGGGUAGGAUUCAACAAGGGCAAGUGUGGGACCUGGUUAAUGAAGGCGUGGGCCAGAUCAAAGUGGCAGGGUGAUGUGAAACAGAAUCUCAAGUGAGGAGAUCAGAAAUCACAAGAGGGCUUUUUAGCCCACUGCCCGCAUAAUUUCAACCUAACCUAUCAGUGACACGCUCUUCAUUCUCCCGGCCCCAGAAAGGCCAAUAAGAAAACCCAGAUAUUUUAUUCCACCUAUUAGGUGUUCAAAAAUUCAUAGUUAAAAGAAUGGAGAGGUUCACCAAUCAGCAGCUAAUGUACCUUUAAGGGCUGAGGUGAGCCGGUCUCCUAGCAACAGCCAGGUUUGCAGCAGUUGGACAAUUAGGUUUUAGUAUCACAUUAGUUAAAAGAGGCCCUGCGGGGGGAAGAAGGUGAGGGACGUUUUAACUGGAUAGCAGUACUGUCUGGGUUUAGAGACUCCACAGAAGACCCGAGUGACGGACGAGAGUCGAGUUGGACCUUCCGGUCGGGAAUCACGCUUUUUUGAAGGCAAUUGGUUGGAGUCGAAAUCGCAGACGCAAGAUAAGCAGUAGGAACAUUAUUCUUUUAUUUAUUGUCUUAGUUACAUUAUUGUCUUAAUGAUGUGGAAAGGCAAAGAUAGGAGAGGUUGUGUGGAUCGAUACCUGCCACGUGGGCGAGUGGGUAACUCUGGUUAGUGUCCCUGGGGAUUCCUUCUUAACCACGGUCAGGUUAAAAAUAGUCCAGAACUUUCAUUAUGUGAAAAUUCUGGAAAAAUAGUCCCAACUACCUAAGGGAAUUAAGAAGUAGGCCUACAGAUUCUCCGCAUGGCCUGAGUGAGGCCCAAGGAGCUAGGCCGCCCUGGAAUUAAACCCUUAGAAGUAGUAUGACCUGUACAAUUUUGUGCCUUUCGUUGUCUGGUCUAGGGGGUAGUACAUACGCCAAGCGUGAUUGGCUUGGUUUAAGCCAUUUCAGGGGAGGUGUCGCCUUUCAUUGUCUGGUCCAGGGGUAAUACACACGGCAAGCUUGAUCAACUUGACGGAGCCGGCUCGAGGAGGGUGUCUAAUGUAAAGGCUCGAAACACCCGAAGAUCCGAGAGUGCAUUACUGAUGAUGUGUCCUGGCACAUGAUAAUGAAAGGUUUCGAUUUUCCUAUACAAGCAGCUGGCUUAGGAGCUCAGACUUUAAAUUCUGCAGACUAACCUUGGCCAGCUAAACAUAUAGAUCCACCAGCCCUACACUUAAACCUAAUCCUAAAGUCCAAAAGGGGCAUACACCCCCAUAAAUAGGCAAAUUCCAAGAGGGGUAGUCACCCCCAUAAACCCUAGGCAACUUCCAAGGGGGGCAUACACCCCCACAAACCCUAGGCAUUCCCCGAUUAACUUUUGAUAUUCUGAGAGGGGUAGGAUUCAACAAGGGCAAGUGUGGGACCUGGUUAAUGAAGGCGUGGGCCAGAUCAAAGUGGCAGGGUGAUGUGAAACAGAAUCUCAAGUGAGGAGAUCAGAAAUCACAAGAGGGCUUUUUAGCCCACUGCCCGCAUAAUUUCAACCUAACCUAUCAGUGACACGCUCUUCAUUCUCCCGGCCCCAGAAAGGCCAAUAAGAAAACCCAGAUAUUUUAUUCCACCUAUUAGGUGUUCAAAAAUUCAUAGUUAAAAGAAUGGAGAGGUUCACCAAUCAGCAGCUAAUGUACCUUUAAGGGCUGAGGUGAGCCGGUCUCCUAGCAACAGCCAGGUUUGCAGCAGUUGGACAAUUAGGUUUUAGUAUCACAUUAGUUAAAAGAGGCCCUGCGGGGGGAAGAAGGUGAGGGACGUUUUAACUGGAUAGCAGUACUGUCUGGGUUUAGAGACUCCACAGAAGACCCGAGUGACGGACGAGAGUCGAGUUGGACCUUCCGGUCGGGAAUCACGCUUUUUUGAAGGCAAUUGGUUGGAGUCGAAAUCGCAGACGCAAGAUAAGCAGUAGGAACAUUAUUCUUUUAUUUAUUGUCUUAGUUACAUUAUUGUCUUAAUGAUGUGGAAAGGCAAAGAUAGGAGAGGUUGUGUGGAUCGAUACCUGCCACGUGGGCGAGUGGGUAACUCUGGUUAGUGUCCCUGGGGAUUCCUUCUUAACCACGGUCAGGUUAAAAAUAGUCCAGAACUUUCAUUAUGUGAAAAUUCUGGAAAAAUAGUCCCAACUACCUAAGGGAAUUAAGAAGUAGGCCUACAGAUUCUCCGCAUGGCCUGAGUGAGGCCCAAGGAGCUAGGCCGCCCUGGAAUUAAACCCUUAGAAGUAGUAUGACCUGUACAAUUUUGUGCCUUUCGUUGUCUGGUCUAGGGGGUAGUACAUACGCCAAGCGUGAUUGGCUUGGUUUAAGCCAUUUCAGGGGAGGUGUCGCCUUUCAUUGUCUGGUCCAGGGGUAAUACACACGGCAAGCUUGAUCAACUUGACGGAGCCGGCUCGAGGAGGGUGUCUAAUGUAAAGGCUCGAAACACCCGAAGAUCCGAGAGUGCAUUACUGAUGAUGUGUCCUGGCACAUGAUAAUGAAAGGUUUCGAUUUUCCUAUACAAGCAGCUGGCUUAGGAGCUCAGACUUUAAAUUCUGCAGACUAACCUUGGCCAGCUAAACAUAUAGAUCCACCAGCCCUACACUUAAACCUAAUCCUAAAGUCCAAAAGGGGCAUACACCCCCAUAAAUAGGCAAAUUCCAAGAGGGGUAGUCACCCCCAUAAACCCUAGGCAACUUCCAAGGGGGGCAUACACCCCCACAAACCCUAGGCAUUCCCCGAUUAACUUUUGAUAUUCUGAGAGGGGUAGGAUUCAACAAGGGCAAGUGUGGGACCUGGUUAAUGAAGGCGUGGGCCAGAUCAAAGUGGCAGGGUGAUGUGAAACAGAAUCUCAAGUGAGGAGAUCAGAAAUCACAAGAGGGCUUUUUAGCCCACUGCCCGCAUAAUUUCAACCUAACCUAUCAGUGACACGCUCUUCAUUCUCCCGGCCCCAGAAAGGCCAAUAAGAAAACCCAGAUAUUUUAUUCCACCUAUUAGGUGUUCAAAAAUUCAUAGUUAAAAGAAUGGAGAGGUUCACCAAUCAGCAGCUAAUGUACCUUUAAGGGCUGAGGUGAGCCGGUCUCCUAGCAACAGCCAGGUUUGCAGCAGUUGGACAAUUAGGUUUUAGUAUCACAUUAGUUAAAAGAGGCCCUGCGGGGGGAAGAAGGUGAGGGACGUUUUAACUGGAUAGCAGUACUGUCUGGGUUUAGAGACUCCACAGAAGACCCGAGUGACGGACGAGAGUCGAGUUGGACCUUCCGGUCGGGAAUCACGCUUUUUUGAAGGCAAUUGGUUGGAGUCGAAAUCGCAGACGCAAGAUAAGCAGUAGGAACAUUAUUCUUUUAUUUAUUGUCUUAGUUACAUUAUUGUCUUAAUGAUGUGGAAAGGCAAAGAUAGGAGAGGUUGUGUGGAUCGAUACCUGCCACGUGGGCGAGUGGGUAACUCUGGUUAGUGUCCCUGGGGAUUCCUUCUUAACCACGGUCAGGUUAAAAAUAGUCCAGAACUUUCAUUAUGUGAAAAUUCUGGAAAAAUAGUCCCAACUACCUAAGGGAAUUAAGAAGUAGGCCUACAGAUUCUCCGCAUGGCCUGAGUGAGGCCCAAGGAGCUAGGCCGCCCUGGAAUUAAACCCUUAGAAGUAGUAUGACCUGUACAAUUUUGUGCCUUUCGUUGUCUGGUCUAGGGGGUAGUACAUACGCCAAGCGUGAUUGGCUUGGUUUAAGCCAUUUCAGGGGAGGUGUCGCCUUUCAUUGUCUGGUCCAGGGGUAAUACACACGGCAAGCUUGAUCAACUUGACGGAGCCGGCUCGAGGAGGGUGUCUAAUGUAAAGGCUCGAAACACCCGAAGAUCCGAGAGUGCAUUACUGAUGAUGUGUCCUGGCACAUGAUAAUGAAAGGUUUCGAUUUUCCUAUACAAGCAGCUGGCUUAGGAGCUCAGACUUUAAAUUCUGCAGACUAACCUUGGCCAGCUAAACAUAUAGAUCCACCAGCCCUACACUUAAACCUAAUCCUAAAGUCCAAAAGGGGCAUACACCCCCAUAAAUAGGCAAAUUCCAAGAGGGGUAGUCACCCCCAUAAACCCUAGGCAACUUCCAAGGGGGGCAUACACCCCCACAAACCCUAGGCAUUCCCCGAUUAACUUUUGAUAUUCUGAGAGGGGUAGGAUUCAACAAGGGCAAGUGUGGGACCUGGUUAAUGAAGGCGUGGGCCAGAUCAAAGUGGCAGGGUGAUGUGAAACAGAAUCUCAAGUGAGGAGAUCAGAAAUCACAAGAGGGCUUUUUAGCCCACUGCCCGCAUAAUUUCAACCUAACCUAUCAGUGACACGCUCUUCAUUCUCCCGGCCCCAGAAAGGCCAAUAAGAAAACCCAGAUAUUUUAUUCCACCUAUUAGGUGUUCAAAAAUUCAUAGUUAAAAGAAUGGAGAGGUUCACCAAUCAGCAGCUAAUGUACCUUUAAGGGCUGAGGUGAGCCGGUCUCCUAGCAACAGCCAGGUUUGCAGCAGUUGGACAAUUAGGUUUUAGUAUCACAUUAGUUAAAAGAGGCCCUGCGGGGGGAAGAAGGUGAGGGACGUUUUAACUGGAUAGCAGUACUGUCUGGGUUUAGAGACUCCACAGAAGACCCGAGUGACGGACGAGAGUCGAGUUGGACCUUCCGGUCGGGAAUCACGCUUUUUUGAAGGCAAUUGGUUGGAGUCGAAAUCGCAGACGCAAGAUAAGCAGUAGGAACAUUAUUCUUUUAUUUAUUGUCUUAGUUACAUUAUUGUCUUAAUGAUGUGGAAAGGCAAAGAUAGGAGAGGUUGUGUGGAUCGAUACCUGCCACGUGGGCGAGUGGGUAACUCUGGUUAGUGUCCCUGGGGAUUCCUUCUUAACCACGGUCAGGUUAAAAAUAGUCCAGAACUUUCAUUAUGUGAAAAUUCUGGAAAAAUAGUCCCAACUACCUAAGGGAAUUAAGAAGUAGGCCUACAGAUUCUCCGCAUGGCCUGAGUGAGGCCCAAGGAGCUAGGCCGCCCUGGAAUUAAACCCUUAGAAGUAGUAUGACCUGUACAAUUUUGUGCCUUUCGUUGUCUGGUCUAGGGGGUAGUACAUACGCCAAGCGUGAUUGGCUUGGUUUAAGCCAUUUCAGGGGAGGUGUCGCCUUUCAUUGUCUGGUCCAGGGGUAAUACACACGGCAAGCUUGAUCAACUUGACGGAGCCGGCUCGAGGAGGGUGUCUAAUGUAAAGGCUCGAAACACCCGAAGAUCCGAGAGUGCAUUACUGAUGAUGUGUCCUGGCACAUGAUAAUGAAAGGUUUCGAUUUUCCUAUACAAGCAGCUGGCUUAGGAGCUCAGACUUUAAAUUCUGCAGACUAACCUUGGCCAGCUAAACAUAUAGAUCCACCAGCCCUACACUUAAACCUAAUCCUAAAGUCCAAAAGGGGCAUACACCCCCAUAAAUAGGCAAAUUCCAAGAGGGGUAGUCACCCCCAUAAACCCUAGGCAACUUCCAAGGGGGGCAUACACCCCCACAAACCCUAGGCAUUCCCCGAUUAACUUUUGAUAUUCUGAGAGGGGUAGGAUUCAACAAGGGCAAGUGUGGGACCUGGUUAAUGAAGGCGUGGGCCAGAUCAAAGUGGCAGGGUGAUGUGAAACAGAAUCUCAAGUGAGGAGAUCAGAAAUCACAAGAGGGCUUUUUAGCCCACUGCCCGCAUAAUUUCAACCUAACCUAUCAGUGACACGCUCUUCAUUCUCCCGGCCCCAGAAAGGCCAAUAAGAAAACCCAGAUAUUUUAUUCCACCUAUUAGGUGUUCAAAAAUUCAUAGUUAAAAGAAUGGAGAGGUUCACCAAUCAGCAGCUAAUGUACCUUUAAGGGCUGAGGUGAGCCGGUCUCCUAGCAACAGCCAGGUUUGCAGCAGUUGGACAAUUAGGUUUUAGUAUCACAUUAGUUAAAAGAGGCCCUGCGGGGGGAAGAAGGUGAGGGACGUUUUAACUGGAUAGCAGUACUGUCUGGGUUUAGAGACUCCACAGAAGACCCGAGUGACGGACGAGAGUCGAGUUGGACCUUCCGGUCGGGAAUCACGCUUUUUUGAAGGCAAUUGGUUGGAGUCGAAAUCGCAGACGCAAGAUAAGCAGGGCAAGAUUCAACAAAGGCAAGUGUUGGACCUGGUUAAUGAAGGCCUGGGCCAGAUCAAGUUGGCAGUGUCGCGUGAAACUGAAUCUCAAGUGACGAGAUCAAAAAGCACAAGAGGGCUGAUUCGCCCACUGUCCGCAUAAACUCAACCUAACCGUAAUGUGAUGUGGAGAACACUCCCAGCUGGUGGUGUCCUGUCAUAACGACAGAUCAGAUGUGUACAACACUGCCACCUGCUGGUGUCCUGCCACCAUGACAGAUCAGAUGUGGACAAUAAUCCCACCUGGUGGUGUCGUGCCGCAAUGACAGUUCGUCCGUAGACAAUACUCCCACCUGGUGGUGUCCUGUCAUAACGACAGAUCAGGUGUGUACAACACUCCCACCUGCUGGUGUGCUG
Long non-coding RNA from Hypanus sabinus (Atlantic stingray), 9070 nucleotides. RefSeq lists it as uncharacterized. The transcript is spliced from 3 exons. The record is from RefSeq and is a predicted model, not a curated record. NCBI's taxonomy places the organism in Eukaryota, Metazoa, Chordata, Chondrichthyes, Myliobatiformes, Dasyatidae.